CUCGGGGAGGGGGGGGUUCCCUCAGCCCGGAUUGUGAGAGGGCACAGGCCAGGCUGAGAGACCCCACCGGUGCAUG
This 76-nucleotide microRNA precursor is filed under the name Myotis brandtii (Brandt's bat). RNAcentral describes it as "mir-9193 microRNA precursor family". It matches the Rfam family "mir-9193 microRNA precursor family". Lineage: Eukaryota; Metazoa; Chordata; Mammalia; Chiroptera; Vespertilionidae. The record is from Rfam by way of RNAcentral.